Molecule: ribosomal RNA, 468 nt
Filed under: uncultured bacterium
Lineage: Bacteria
Description: partial 16S ribosomal RNA
Rfam family: Bacterial small subunit ribosomal RNA
Source: RNAcentral
GACGAACGCUGGCGGCGUGCUUAACACAUGCAAGUCGAACGGAAAGGCCCUGCUUUUGUGGGGUGCUCGAGUGGCGAACGGGUGAGUAACACGUGAGUAACCUGCCCUUGACUUUGGGAUAACUUCACGAAACUGGGGCUAAUACCGGAUAGGAUCUCCUGCUGCACGUUGGUGGUUGGAAAGUUUCGGCGGUUGGGGAUGGACUGGCGGGUUAUGCGCUUGUUGGUGGGGUAGUGGCUUUCCAAGGCUUUGACGGGUAGGCGGCCUGGGAGGGGGAACGGGGACAAUGGGACUGAGGGAGGGCGCAGACGGGAACGGGAGGCAGCGGGGGGGAGUCUGACGGAGUGGGCGGGAGCGUGAGGCGGCGACGCCGGGUGCGGGAUAACGGCCUUCGGGUUGAAAACCACUUUCGCAUGUAACGAGGCGUGAGUGACGGUAAUGGGUAAAAAAGCACCGGCUAACUACGUG